GUACACGAAAAGGGGUGCCAUACUGUAAACGGGCUGAGAUUAUACCCUGUGAACCUGAUGCGGGUAAUGCCGCCGUAGGAAAGACAGACAAGGCUUUU
Non-coding RNA from Parabacteroides goldsteinii dnLKV18, 98 nucleotides. The record is from Rfam. NCBI's taxonomy places the organism in Bacteria, Pseudomonadati, Bacteroidota, Bacteroidia, Bacteroidales, Tannerellaceae.